This 1354-nucleotide long non-coding RNA is filed under the name Citrus maxima (pomelo). RNAcentral describes it as "long non-coding RNA (CMAX_LNC003702)". Lineage: Eukaryota; Viridiplantae; Streptophyta; Magnoliopsida; Sapindales; Rutaceae. The record is from RNAcentral.
UAAAUCCAAUAUUGAUACAGAAUUUACAAUUUAUGCUACACUGAAAUGGUCAAAUCCUUAAAAGAAAUUUGUUCAUCCUGCGUGGUAUAAGUUGUCUACAUCAUCUAUUAAUAUUAUGCCUCAUUAGUCCAUUUGGAUUACUAACCUUGAUUAUGGUAAAACUAACCACUAGAUUAUAACUUUAUAACCUAUUUAAACAAACUCAUAAAUCAGAAACUGAAACUGAAAAGACAAAAGGAUAUAAAGCAACAAAAACUUGAAGGAUUUCUUCAGGGUAACAAUUAGAACAUGGUAAGCAAUUAGUAUAACCCAUAUAGCACUGUGUAAUCACUCACCAACACUCCGAGCUUGUCCUAAACUAUGUAAUCAGUCGUUUCAUUUUAUGAGGUAGAGAAUUCCUAAAAACUUGAUGAAGAGACAACAGAAGUCAGCCCACAUAGCACCAAAAGCGAAUAAACUUCAAUUAGAAAAGAAAGCCAUGAAACCUAAAAGUAUGGAACAAAAACGUUCAUGCCAAAAUUAUGAUUAUGAAAAGCUAAUUGCAAUUCUUCUUACUUGAUCCUCCAGUUCUUGCUGAUAGGCAAUUUUUUUUUUUUUCAAUUCUAUUUCUCAGUCCAAAAUGCUCAGCCUGCAUUAAAUACAAAUCUACACAGAAUUAUAAAAAUAUCAGGUCGUAAAAUAACUCAAAAGAUUAUAUCCGCAGAAGCAGCAGCAAGGCUUCCUUGAAAGAGAACUCCAACAGAAACUGCAAAACAAGGAUAGUGUAUGGAUUGUAUUCGUUUUCAUACCUCAUAUUUGAAUAAUAGAACAUAUGCAAGCUUGUUGUUUCUGUCAGGCAUUUCAACAAAUAACUUGAAGACUCUACUUCGAAAAAUUUCAUCAAACAUCAGCAUUGAGUGCCAAUGUAGAGGACCAAGCACAGAUUUAACACAUCGGCAAAUCACUCAAAAAUAAAACCACAGACAAGGAAAUGACAUAAAUCAUCCGAUCCCAAUUUCACAAAACGAAACUACUAUUGUAGCGCACAAGUAUCAGCAAAUAAGAUCGAAGAAGCUAGAGAAACUAUAAGAUACGAACCAAAUGUAAAAGCAUCGUUACCUACUGUUAUGGCCGCACGUCGGCUAUCAGCUCAGGCGGUCAGAUUUUUCACUGGUGACGAAGCUAAUCAUUUGACUGAUAUUUAGGCUUUGAGCAAUAAUAUAGCCAUAAUUGGACUGUAGGAUUAAAUAUUUCUUAAUCCACAUUAUUUAUUUAUUUAUUUUAUAUAUUUAUUUAAUUAAUAAAUUAAUUAAUAUAAAAUAAAUUUAUUUAAUAUUUUGUAACUGUAUCAUCACUCUUAAAAUUUGAGGAUUAA